This 431-nucleotide ribosomal RNA is filed under the name uncultured bacterium. RNAcentral's name for it is "bacterial SSU rRNA". It matches the Rfam family "Bacterial small subunit ribosomal RNA", at positions 29 to 507 of the family's 1533-position model. The record is from RNAcentral.
AACGAACGCUGGCGGCAGGCUUAACACAUGCAAGUCGAGCGCCCCGCAAGGGGAGCGGCAGACGGGUGAGUAACGCGUGGGAACGUACCCUUCGGUUCGGAAUAACUCAGGGAAACUUGGGCUAAUACCGGAUACGUCCGUGAGGAGAAAGAUUUAUCGCCGAAGGAUCGGCCCGCGUUGGAUUAGCUAGUUGGUGGGGUAAUGGCCUACCAAGGCGACGAUCCAUAGCUGGUCUGAGAGGAUGAUCAGCCACACUGGGACUGAGACACGGCCCAGACUCCUACGGGAGGCAGCAGUGGGGAAUAUUGGACAAUGGGCGAAAGCCUGAUCCAGCCAUGCCGCGUGAGUGAUGAAGGCCCUAGGGUUGUAAAGCUCUUUCAGUGGGGAAGAUAAUGACGGUACCCACAGAAGAAGCACCGGCUAACUCCGUG